Molecule: ribosomal RNA, 638 nt
Filed under: Salinivibrio sp. PR5
Lineage: Bacteria; Pseudomonadati; Pseudomonadota; Gammaproteobacteria; Vibrionales; Vibrionaceae
Description: bacterial LSU rRNA
Rfam family: Bacterial large subunit ribosomal RNA
Source: RNAcentral
GUUGUAUGGUUAAGUGAUUAAGCGUAGACGGUGGAUGCCUUGGCAGUCAGAGGCGAUGAAGGACGUAUUAACUUGCGAUAAGCCCAGAUAAGGCAGUAAAAGCCAUUUGAGUCUGGGAUUUCCGAAUGGGGAAACCCACCUGCAUAAGCAGGUNCGAGUAGGACGGGACACGUGAUAUCUUGUCUGAACAUGGGGGGACCAUCCUCCAAGGCUAAAUACUCCUGACUGACCGAUAGUGAACCAGUACCGUGAGGGAAAGGCGAAAAGAACCCCUGUGAGGGGAGUGAAAUAGAACCUGAAACCGUCUACGUACAAGCAGUGGGAGCCUCCUUUGUGGGGUGACCGCGUACCUUUUGUAUAAUGGGUCAGCGACUUAAUGUUAGUAGCAAGGUUAACCGCAUAGGGGAGCCGUAGGGAAACCGAGUCUUAACUGGGCGUCGAGUUGCUAGCAUUAGACCCGAAACCGAGUGAUCUAGCCAUGGGCAGGUUGAAGGUUGAGUAACAUCAACUGGAGGACCGAACUCACUAACGUUGAAAAGUUAGGAGAUGACCUGUGGCUAGGGGUGAAAGGCCAAUCAAACUCGGAGAUAGCUGGUUCUCCCCGAAAGCUAUUUAGGUAGCGCCUCGGACGAAUACUA